UACGGAAGGUGCAAGCGUUAAUCGGAAUUACUGGGCGUAAAGCGCGCGUAGGCGGCUUGGUAAGUCGGGUGUGAAAGCCCCCGGGCGUCAACCUGGGAACUGCAUUCGAUACUGCCGGGCUGGAGUACGAGAGAGGGGGGUGGAAUUCCAGGUGUGGCGGUGAAAUGCGUAGAGAUCUGGAGGAACACCAGUGGCGAAGGCGGCCCCCUCGGUUGAUACUGACGCUGAGGUGCGAAAGACGUGGGG
RNAcentral lists this ribosomal RNA (246 nucleotides) under uncultured bacterium. RNAcentral describes it as "partial 16S ribosomal RNA". It matches the Rfam family "Bacterial small subunit ribosomal RNA", at positions 524 to 767 of the family's 1533-position model. The record is from RNAcentral.